CGACGUGAGGAACCUGCCUCAAAGAGGGGGACAACAGUUGGAAGCGACUGCUAAUACCGCAUAAGCCCACAGCUCGGCAUCGAGCAGAGGGAAAAGGAGUGAUCCGCUUUGAGAUGGCCUCGCGUCCGAUUAGCUAGUUGGUGAGGUAAUGGCCCACCAAGGCGACGAUCGGUAGCCGGACUGAGAGGUUGAACGGCCACAUUGGGACUGAGAUACGGCCCAG
RNAcentral lists this ribosomal RNA (223 nucleotides) under uncultured bacterium. Its description in RNAcentral is "partial 16S ribosomal RNA". It matches the Rfam family "Bacterial small subunit ribosomal RNA", at positions 113 to 334 of the family's 1533-position model. The record is from RNAcentral.